RNAcentral lists this ribosomal RNA (869 nucleotides) under Firmicutes bacterium enrichment culture clone CTBE CDB1006D05. Its description in RNAcentral is "bacterial SSU rRNA". It matches the Rfam family "Bacterial small subunit ribosomal RNA", at positions 44 to 913 of the family's 1533-position model. The record is from RNAcentral. Lineage: Bacteria; Bacillati; Bacillota.
GAUGCUAAUACUGCAGUCGAGCGGUCCCUUCGGGGAUCCGGCGGACGGGUGAGUAACACGUAGGCAACCUGCCUGUAAGAUCGGGAUAACUAUCGGAAACGGUAGCUAAGACCGGAUAGCUGGUUUUCUCGCAUGGGAGAAUCAUGGAACACGGGGCAACCUGUGGCUUACAGAUGGGCCUGCGGCGCAUUAGCUAGUUGGUAGGGUAACGGCCUACCAAGGCGACGAUGCGUAGCCGACCUGAGAGGGUGAACGGCCACACUGGGACUGAGACACGGCCCAGACUCCUACGGGAGGCAGCAGUAGGGAAUCUUCCGCAAUGGGCGCAAGCCUGACGGAGCAACGCCGCGUGAGUGAUGAAGGUUUUCGGAUCGUAAAGCUCUGUUGCCAAGGAAGAAAUGUAAGGAGAGUAACUGCUCUUUACUUGACGGUACUUGAGAAAAAAGCCCCGGCUAACUACGUGCCAGCAGCCGCGGUAAUACGUAGGGGGCAAGCGUUGUCCGGAAUUAUUGGGCGUANAGCGCGCGCAGGCGGUUUUUUAAGUCUGGGGUUUAAUUGCAGGGCUCAACCCUGUAUCGCCUUGGGAAACUGGGAGACUGGAGUGGAGGAGAAGAAAGUGGAAUUCCACGUGUAACGGUGAAAUGCCUAAAGAUGUGGGAGGAACACCAGUGGCCGAGGGCGACUUUCUGGCCCUAUAACUGACCCUGAAGCGGCAAAAGCCUGGGGGGAGCAACCGGGAAUAAUACCCCUGGUAAUCCCACCCCUUAAACGAUGGAAGGCUAGGGGUUAAGGGGUUUCGAAAACCCCUGGUGGCCGAAGUUAAACCAAUAAACCCCUCCCCCCUGGGGGAAAACCCUCGACAAAAUGGA